CAGUCGCCGCGGGAAUACAGAGGCCUCAAGCGUUGUUCGGAUUCAUUGGGCGUAAAGGGUGCGUAGGUGGCUUGGUAAGUUGAAGGUGAAAUCUCGGGGCUUAACCCCGAAACUGCCUUCAAUACUGCUAGGCUCGAGGACUGUAGAGGAGAAUGGAAUUCACGGUGUAGCAGUGAAAUGCGUAGAUAUCGUGAGGAAGACCAGUGGCGAAGGCGAUUCUCUGGGCAGUUCCUGACACUGAGGCACGAAGGCCAGGGGAGCAAACGGGAUUAGAUACCCCGGUAGUCCCUGUCUCUUAUAC
Molecule: ribosomal RNA, 301 nt
Filed under: uncultured bacterium
Lineage: Bacteria
Description: partial 16S ribosomal RNA
Rfam family: Bacterial small subunit ribosomal RNA
Source: RNAcentral